Molecule: ribosomal RNA, 468 nt
Filed under: uncultured bacterium
Lineage: Bacteria
Description: partial 16S ribosomal RNA
Rfam family: Bacterial small subunit ribosomal RNA
Source: RNAcentral
GACGAACGCUGGCGGCGUGCUUAACACAUGCAAGUCGAACGGAAAGGCCCUGCUUUUGUGGGGUGCUCGAGUGGCGAACGGGUGAGUAACACGUGAGUAACCUGCCCUUGACUUUGGGAUAACUUCAGGAAACUGGGGCUAAUACCGGAUAGGAGCCCCUGCUGCAUGGUGGGGGUUGGAAAGUUUCGGCGGUUGGGGAUGGACUCGCGGCUUAUCAGCUUGUUGGUGGGGUAGUGGCUUACCCAGGCUUUGACGGAUAGCCGGCCUGAGAGGGUGACCGGCCACAUUGGGACUGAGAUACGGCCCAGACUCCUACGGGAGACAGCAGUGGGGAAUAUUGCACAAUGGGCGGAAGCCUGAUGCAGCAACGCCGCGUGCGGGAUGACGUCCUUCGGGUUGUAAACCGCUUUCGCCUGUGACGAAGCGUGAGUGACGGUAAUGGGUAAAGAAGCACCGGCUAACUACGUG